AGAUAACAUUAGCCAACUCCUAGAUUUAAUACUGGACUAUUCUAUUACUAAAUAGAAGCAAUAAGGUUAAUAUGAGUAACAAGAAAUAUUUUCUCCUCGCACAAGUUUAAGUCAGUAACUGAUAAAACCCUGACCGUUAACAGUAAAUAAAAAUAACCCAACAAUAAAUGAUUUAUUACUUAUACUGUUAACCCAACACAGGAGUGCACCCAGGAAAGAUUCAAAGAAGUAAAAGGAACUCGGCAAACACUAAACCCCGCCUGUUUACCAAAAACAUCACCUCCAGCAUCCCUAGUAUUGGAGGCACUGCCUGC
Molecule: ribosomal RNA, 314 nt
Filed under: Ovis aries (sheep)
Lineage: Eukaryota; Metazoa; Chordata; Mammalia; Artiodactyla; Bovidae
Description: partial large subunit ribosomal RNA
Source: RNAcentral